RNAcentral lists this ribosomal RNA (775 nucleotides) under uncultured Neocallimastigales. RNAcentral describes it as "partial large subunit ribosomal RNA". It matches the Rfam family "Eukaryotic large subunit ribosomal RNA", at positions 24 to 647 of the family's 3401-position model. Lineage: Eukaryota; Fungi; Neocallimastigomycota; Neocallimastigomycetes; Neocallimastigales. The record is from RNAcentral.
GUAGUCUCGCACAGAUGCAUAUCAAUAAGCGGAGGAAAAGAAACUAACAAGGAUUCCCCUAGUAACGGCGAGUGAAGCGGGAAGAGCUCAAAUUUGAAAUCUUAAAGGGUUUCCCUUUACGAAUUGUAGUUUAAAGAAGUGUUUUCUGUUGAGGUUUUGGUAAAAGUUCUUUGGAAUAGGACAUCAUAGAGGGUGAGAAUCCCGUAUUUGACCUUUACUUUCAACUUUGUGAUACACUUUCAAAGAGUCGGAUUGUUUGGGAAUGCAGUCCAAAAUGGGUGGUAAAUUUCAUCUAAAGCUAAAUAUUGGCGAGAGACCGAUAGCGAACAAGUACCGUGAGGGAAAGAUGAAAAGAACUUUGAAAAGAGAGUUAAACAGUACGUGAAAUUGUCAAAAGGGAAGCGUUUGACACCAGUGUUGUUUUUCUGAAAAUCAAUUAAAGAACUGUUUAUGCUAAGCUGUUUAGACUUUAUCAGCUAAUCUGUUUAGUUUUGAGCUUUUCUUUAAUGCACUUUUCAGUUAACAAGUCAACAUCAAUUUCUUUUGCUGUAAAAAAGCUUGAGGAAGGUGGCUUGAGAUUCGUCUUAAGUGUUUAUAGCCUCUUGUCUAUGCAGUCGGAGAGAUUGAGGUCUGCAGCGUAGAUCCUUCGGGGCUAAAUGCAUUUGUGCUAAGUUAUAGCAUUUUAUAGACAACUUGUUGACUAUGAUUUGUCUUGUAGCUUACUCGCUUAUGUUAUUUUACCUACGCUUAGGAUGUUGAUCUGUAGUGCGUGCGC